CUACCAUGCAGUCGACGUGAAAAUGCCUUCGGGUAUUAGUAAAGUGGCGCACGGGUGAGUAACACGUAGGUAAUCUCCCUCUUAGUGUGGAAUAACCAGCCGAAAGGCUGGCUAAUACCGCAUAUGGACCCAGGUCGUUGGAUCUGUGUCUAAAGGGGGCUUCGGCUCUCGCUAAGAGAUGAGCCUGCGUCCGAUUAGCUAGUUGGUGAGGUAAAAGCUCACCAAGGCAACGAUCGGUAGCUGGUCUGAGAGGACGACCAGCCACACUGGAACUGAAACACGGUCCAGACUCCUACGGGAGGCAGCAGUGGGGAAUAUUGCACAAUGGACGCAAGUCUGAUGCAGCGACGCCGCGUGGGUGAUGAAGGCCUUCGGGUUGUAAAGCCCUGUCAGCAGGGAAAAAAGCUUUCGUGCUAAUACCACGAGAGGAUGAUGGUACCUGCAGAGGAAGCACCGGCUAACUCUGUGCCAGCAGCCGCGGUAAUACAGAGGGUGCGAGCGUUGUUCGGAAUUACUGGGCGUAAAGAGCGUGUAGGCGGUCUAGCAAGUCAGAUGUGAAAGCCCAGAGCUUAACUCUGGAAGUGCAUUUGAAACUGCUAGGCUUGAGUGAUGUAGAGGUUGGCGGAAUACCCAGUGUAGAGGUGAAAUUCGUAGAUAUUGGGUAGAACACCGGUGGCGAAGGCGGCCAACUGGCAUCAACUGACGCUGAGACGCGAAAGCGUGGGGAGCAAACAGGAUUAGAUACCCUGGUAGUCCACGCCCUAACGAUGAUACUCGCUGUGGCUGGUAUUGACCCGCCGUA
This 802-nucleotide ribosomal RNA is filed under the name uncultured delta proteobacterium. RNAcentral describes it as "bacterial SSU rRNA". It matches the Rfam family "Bacterial small subunit ribosomal RNA", at positions 49 to 845 of the family's 1533-position model. The record is from RNAcentral. Lineage: Bacteria; Deltaproteobacteria.